Long non-coding RNA from Cyprinus carpio carpio, 1489 nucleotides. The record is from Ensembl. NCBI's taxonomy places the organism in Eukaryota, Metazoa, Chordata, Actinopteri, Cypriniformes, Cyprinidae.
CUCAUAUUUACUGUUGUUCAGUGACAUUUCACGGGUGAAAACCAGUCAUGCCAAUAGGGAUAUGCACGAUUGAGAGUUUUAUGUGAAGUUAAAAAAAAAAUCCACAUGCAGAUUUUAUGAAUUUGUUUGGUUUGAAAGUUACUUCUGUGUGAGAUAUGCUUCAAACCUCUCUAUGCUACUGACAACAACGCUUUUUUCAAAAUCAAAAUUUCAUUGAAAUUUCACUAAUGUUACCACAUCUUUUAUAUUUACAAAGGUGACACUUAUACUUGGCACUUAAUGCACUUGAUAUAGCUCUUUUUUGCACCAAUAAUAGCACAUUUGCAUCCAGUCAACACUGAUGCAAGAAAAACUAAUUUUGCAUCCCACCUAACAGGUUCUAAAAGCAUUUUGCUAACCCAUUGUUAUGAAAACAUUAUUUCUGAAUGUUCUCAGAAAGUUCGGAAUGUCCAGUCUUUAAAAAACAAAAUAUGUUAAAGACAACAUUUUGGGGGAACAUUCCAUUUUAUAAUUUUGAAAGCAUUAUGGAAUGUUAUUUUUGGAUAUCCUCUACACCAUCUCAAGUCCAACUAAAACAUAAAAAAAAAGUUCCAUGUGAUUGAUGGCACACCCCGCCGAGCACAUCCAACAUGCAAUAGAGAAAGCCGUAGCCAUGGAUACAGCAAAAUAAAGUGGUGAGGAGCGGCUUUGGGGAAGUCAGCGUGCCACCACAGAGCUCCACCGUUAAGACGCUGGAUGAGGGAAUUGCUUUCGGUUGAUUCAGCGCAUUUAGCAGCCGAAGGUGGGGGAAGAAAGAAGAUGAGAGGAAAAAGCGGACGGGUCGGGGAGGGAGGGAGGCUGGUGCUCUGAUCAGAGUCUCUGCCACACCAUUUUUCACAGCAGACAAAAACAUUUGCCUGGAUAUCAAUUUGGAGCCUUGAAGCAGUCUUCCCCUCCUGACCCAUCAUCCAUCAUCUUUUCCUCCCCCUCCACACCACCACCUACAUGUCCUCACCUCUGGGCCGGGCGGUGCUGAAGCUCAAGGCGGGGCGAGCACUUCUGAGGGACAGUCUGCUUGCAUUAUGCUGCCGUCCGAGACUCCGCCCUGUGCCGAGCCCUUAUUGGCACCUCCACCAGCAGCCCAUCAGUCAUCGCUGGACCGUCAUCCAUCACGCAUGGCGAUCAAUAGCAGGCCACGCAUUCAUCAGGCGGAGGUGCUGGUGGUCAUACAGCAUGGGGGUGGGGCUGGAGCAACACAGUGAAGGGGUGAGAGUCCAAAACGUACUUGUGAUGUCUGAAUUUGCAGGUGCAUUUACAGGUGCGGAUUUGCAUGUGAAGGUUAGCAUCUGCAUAAACGCAUUAUCUUGAAGAUUCCACGAAAUCUAAAUAGGAGCUCAAGUGUGUUGCUUCAGGGCCAUAUACUCUAUAUGCUAGUGUACACCUAAAAGUAAGCAGACAUUUAAAAUGUACACUUUUUGUUUUCCGAGAAAAUUGAAUAAAUAUAUUGACA